RNAcentral lists this ribosomal RNA (469 nucleotides) under uncultured beta proteobacterium. Its description in RNAcentral is "bacterial SSU rRNA". It matches the Rfam family "Bacterial small subunit ribosomal RNA", at positions 29 to 494 of the family's 1533-position model. The record is from RNAcentral. Lineage: Bacteria; Pseudomonadati; Pseudomonadota; Betaproteobacteria.
AUUGAACGCUGGCGGCAUGCUUUACACAUGCAAGUCGAGCGGCAGCGCGGGGCAACCUGGCGGCGAGCGGCGAACGGGUGAGUAAUAGAUAGGAACGUGUCCGAGAGUGGGGGAUAACUAGCCGAAAGGAUAGCUAAUACCGCAUAUUCUCUGAGGAGGAAAGCGGGGGAUCGCAAGACCUCGCGCUCACGGAGUGGCCUAUCUCCGAUUAGCUAGUUGGUGGGGUAAAGGCUUACCAAGGCGACGAUCGGUAGCUGGUCUGAGAGGAUGAUCAGCCACACUGGGACUGAGACACGGCCCAGACUCCUACGGGAGGCAGCAGUGGGGAAUUUUGGACAAUGGGGGCAACCCUGAUCCAGCCAUGCCGCGUGCGGGAAGAAGGCCUUCGGGUUGUANACCGCUUUUAUUCGGAAAGAAGGAGUCCGGGCUAAUACCCCGGAUGACAGACGGUACCGGAUGAAUAAGGACC